Molecule: ribosomal RNA, 490 nt
Filed under: uncultured bacterium
Lineage: Bacteria
Description: partial 16S ribosomal RNA
Rfam family: Bacterial small subunit ribosomal RNA
Source: RNAcentral
AGUGAACGCUGGCGGCAGGCCUAACACAUGCAAGUCGAACGGUAACAGGAAGCAGCUUGCUGCUUUGCUGACGAGUGGCGGACGGGUGAGUAAUGUCUGGGAAACUGCCUUAUGGAGGGGGAUAACUACUGGAAACGGUAGCUAAUACCGCAUAACGUCGCAAGACCAAAGAGGGGGACCUUCUGGCCUCUUGCCAUCGGAUGUGCCCAGAUGGGAUUAGCUAGUAGGUGGGGUAACGGCUCACCUAGGCGACGAUCCCUAGCUGGUCUGAGAGGAUGACCAGCCACACUGGAACUGAGACACGGUCCAGACUCCUACGGGAGGCAGCAGUGGGGAAUAUUGCACAAUGGGCGCAAGCCUGAUGCAGCCAUGCCGCGUGUAUGAAGAAGGCCUUCGGGUUGUAAAGUACUUUCAGCGGGGAGGAAGGGAGUAAAGUUAAUACCUUUGCUCAUUGACGUUACCCGCAGAAGAAGCACCGGCUAACUCCGUG